GAAUUUUAUUAUUUAUUUCUUAUUGUAUCAAGCCAAGCAUCAGAGAUUUCUAUAAUAUGAGUCUAAGGAUUGUAUGUUUGUGGAAUAUGAGUUGUUUUAUGGAAGAAACAUAAUUACUUUACUGGUUUGGAUCUCCAGUAUGUA
Molecule: long non-coding RNA, 144 nt
Organism: Hibiscus syriacus
Lineage: Eukaryota; Viridiplantae; Streptophyta; Magnoliopsida; Malvales; Malvaceae
Exons: 3
Source: RefSeq, a predicted model, not a curated record